UGCCAGUGAUAAACUGGAGGAAGGUGGGGAUGACGUCAAGUCAUCAUGGCCCUUACGACCAGGGCUACACACGUGCUACAAUGGCAUAUACAAAGAGAAGCGACCUCGCGAGAGCAAGCGGACCUCAUAAAGUAUGUCGUAGUCCGGAUUGGAGUCUGCAACUCGACUCCAUGAAGUCGGAAUCGCUAGUAAUCGUAGAUCAGAAUGCUACGGUGAAUACGUUCCCGGGCCUUGUACACACCGCCCGUCACACCAUGGGAGUGGGUUGCAAAAGAAGUAGGUAGCUUAACCUUCGGGAGGGCGCUUACCACUUUGUGAUUCAUGACUGGGGUGAAGUCGUAACAAGGUAACCGUAGGGGAACCUGCGGUUGGAU
Molecule: ribosomal RNA, 374 nt
Filed under: Klebsiella pneumoniae
Lineage: Bacteria; Pseudomonadati; Pseudomonadota; Gammaproteobacteria; Enterobacterales; Enterobacteriaceae
Also listed under: 2 other names
Description: bacterial SSU rRNA
Rfam family: Bacterial small subunit ribosomal RNA
Source: RNAcentral